AUUGAACGCUGGCGGCAGGCCUAACACAUGCAAGUCGAACGAGUGGCGGACGGGUGAGUAAUGUCUGUGAAACUGCCUGAUGGAGGGGGAUAACUACUGGAAACGGUAGCUAAUACCGCAUACCAUCGGAUGUGCCCAGAUGGGAUUAGCUAGUAGGGGGGGUAAAGGCUCACCAAGGCGACUAUCCCUAGCUGGUCUGAGAGGAUGACCAGUCACACUGGGAAUGAGACACGGCCCAGACUCCGACGGGAGGCAGCAGUGGGGAAUCUUGGGCAAUGGACGAAAGCCUGACCGAGCAAUGCCGCGUGAGUGAAGAAGGUCUUCGGAUUGUAAAACUCUGUUGUUAGAGAAGCGGUAUCUAACCAGAAAGCACCGGCUAACUACGGGCCAGCAGCCGCGGUAAUUC
Molecule: ribosomal RNA, 406 nt
Filed under: uncultured bacterium
Lineage: Bacteria
Description: partial 16S ribosomal RNA
Rfam family: Bacterial small subunit ribosomal RNA
Source: RNAcentral